AGCAGCCGCGGUAAUUCCAGCUCCAAUAGCGUAUAUUAAAGUUGCUGCAGUUAAAAAGCUCGUAGUUGAAUUUCGGGAUUGACCCAUCGGUCGUGCCUUAAGGGGUAUGAACUGGUGUAGUCAAUUUCUCACCUUCUGGAGAACCGUGAUGUCCUUAAUUGGGUGCCACGAGGAACCAGGACCUUUACUUUGAAAAAAUUAGAGUGUUUAAAGCAGGCACUUUUGCUUGAAUACAUUAGCAUGGAAUAAUAAAAUAGGACGGCAUGAUUCUAUUUUGUUGGUUUCUAGGAUCACCGUAAUGAUUAAUAGGGAUAGUUGGGGGCAUUAGUAUUCAAUUGUCAGAGGUGAAAUUCUUGGAUUUAUUGAAGACUAACUACUGCGAAAGCAUUUGCCAAGGAUGUUUUCAUUAAUCAAGAACGAAAGUUAGGGGAUCGAAGACGAUCAGAUACCGUCGUAGUCUUAACCAUAAACUAUGCCGACUAGGAAUCAGACGAUGUUAAUUUUUAAUGACUCGUUUGGC
This 520-nucleotide ribosomal RNA is filed under the name uncultured Entrophospora. RNAcentral's name for it is "SSU rRNA". It matches the Rfam family "Eukaryotic small subunit ribosomal RNA", at positions 569 to 1084 of the family's 1831-position model. Lineage: Eukaryota; Fungi; Glomeromycota; Glomeromycetes; Entrophosporales; Entrophosporaceae. The record is from RNAcentral.